Molecule: ribosomal RNA, 282 nt
Filed under: uncultured prokaryote
Description: partial 16S ribosomal RNA
Rfam family: Bacterial small subunit ribosomal RNA
Source: RNAcentral
CACGGGGGUUGCGAGCGUUGUCCGGAAUUACUAGGCGUAAAGGGCAGGCAGGCGGAUCCAUAAGUUUAUCGUUUAAGGCGUCGGCUUAACCGGCGUAGGGCGGUAGAUACUGUGGAUCUGGAAUGCGGUUGGGGAAGACAGAAUUCCUGGUGUAGCGGUGGAAUGCGCAGAGAUCAGGAGGAAUACCGAAGGCGAAGGCAGUCUUCCAAGCCGUUAUUGACGCUCAACUGUGAAGGUGUGGGUAUCAAACAGGAUUAGAUACCCCGGUAGUUCCUGAGCGGG